RNAcentral lists this long non-coding RNA (997 nucleotides) under Homo sapiens (human). Its description in RNAcentral is "novel transcript". Lineage: Eukaryota; Metazoa; Chordata; Mammalia; Primates; Hominidae. The record is from RNAcentral.
AUAGCAGUGUGAGAAUAGACUAAUACACAGUCCAUCAGGGUAUUGGGAAGACUGUGGUUUGCAAGAACACAGCAACAUCAGUGGAUGCCUUUUGGAUGGUGAUGGCCUUGUGUUAACUGCCUGCAGCUGAUGAACGUGGUGGGGAACAUGCUGCAUUUCCUACCUGCCUUUGUGUGCAGGUGAAGCAACCAGUCUCGAAGCACUACGCAGGAGUGAUGAUGAUCUGCGACACCUGCAUCUACUCAGGCAGCCUGCUGAGCCCCAGCCAUAGCUGGAUCUGUGACGAGCUCACGGGCAGCAGGGGUCUGACACAAUGGGGACCUACAUCGUGGACCUGCUGACCCACCCGACCUUCUGGAGAGAUGAGAAGUUGCACACACUGUCAAGACAUACAUGAGGCAGAGUGCCACCAUCUGUGGCAUCCAGCAUGUCACCAUUGAUGACUUCUGUUUCAAAAAAAAAAAAAAAAAACUACCUGCCGAAACAGGAUUCAACACUGUGUAAAAGAAGGAAACAACUUCACAACAUCAAGAUACUAAGCAAUGUAGCAGUUACAACUAUACAAUAAAAAAUUACUAGACACAUGAAGAUUCAACAAAAUAUGAUCCAUACCAGAAGAAAAAUCAGUCAAUAGAAUCAGAAAUGACAGAGAUCAUGGAAUUAGCACAAAAAAAACCAUUAAAACAGCUAUUACUAAUAUAAUUAAGAAUUUACAAGAAAAUAUGAACAUAAGAAAAAAUGAAGAUAUGAAAAACAAUGAAAUGCAGCUUUUAGACUUAUGUAAUGCAAUAUCUGAAAAAAAUUUAAAUCACUGUAGGAGCUUAAAGCAAAUUUAAUGUAGAAGAAAAGAUUGAUGACCUUGAAGACAUAGCAAUAGAAGCUAUUCAAGCUGUAGCACACAGAGAAAAAUACACCAAAAAGCCAAACUGCUAUGAGUGUCUGCAGAAAUAAACUUCAGUAGAUGUGUAACUCCAAGGACUGUAGGUAGUGGAAUUGA